Long non-coding RNA from Alligator mississippiensis (American alligator), 3087 nucleotides. RefSeq lists it as uncharacterized. Lineage: Eukaryota; Metazoa; Chordata; Crocodylia; Alligatoridae. The transcript has 3 exons. The record is from RefSeq and is a predicted model, not a curated record.
AAUCCUGUUUUUUUUCUCCUGAUUUACCAUAGACUGCAAGGAGCAUCCCCUUCCUCUUGCAUGCCCUGAGCAAGUAUUUUCACUGUUGCAGUCCCUAGAUUCUUCAAACUGCAGCCGGGCUCCCUUAGUGCAUGUCCAGAACUACACACCUCCUUAAAGAGAAGAAAAUUGAGCUUCCAAGAACUUGAUGUGCAAACUUCACUUUUGCAUCCUACAAAAUUGAAGAUGCUUAAUGGAACUGCAAGAGAAAGAGUUUAUUCUCUACUGGUGAGGUCUUGCUUGGGAGCACGAUAUCCAGUUUUGAGCGCUGCACUUCAAGAAAGACAUGGCCAAAUAAGAAAAAGUCCAGCACAGAGCAACAACAGUUAUUAGAGGCCAGGUAAAUGUGAUUUAUGAAGAAAGUCUGAAAGAACCAGGAUUAUAAUCUGGAGAAGAGAAGACUGAGGAGGAAUUUAAUAACAGUUUUCAGAUAUCUUCAAAGUGAUUAUAAAGAGGAUGGUGAUAAACUAUUUUCUAUACCACAGGGGAUAGUGCGAGGAGUAGUGGUCUUAAAUUGCACCAAGGGCAAUUUAGGUUGGAUAUUAGGAAGAAGUUUCUUACUUUGAGGGAGGUUAAACAUUGAACCAAUUACCUACAAAAGUUGUGGACUCCCCAUCCUUAGAAGUUUUUAAGAUUAGAUUAGAUAGAAACUUGAUGGGGAUGGUUUAGUCAGGGCAGUGCUGCCCUCAACAGGAGUUGGAGUAGAUGACCUUCUGAGAUCCCUUCCAGGCCUACUUUUCUAUGAUCUUAACAUCAGUAAAUAUCUUUAAUUCCAAAUAUAUGUUUAUGAACACAAGUAUCAGAACAUUUGAAGAUUUCUGCAAUUUGGCUAGGAAAAUGUACUCCUCUGUCCUAUUCAUGCAUACCAGCUCCAUUGUAGGAGUUGAACAUCAGUGAUUUCCCCCAAAAGAAAUAACUUUCAGAAUAAAAAAGAAUCUUUCUUUGAAGCUCAUAAUAUAGUUAUUGAUUUGGUAGAAUGUGCUGUAAAGGAUUGAGGAGUAGUUAUACUUUAAGCUUCAUCAGCCUCUGUGAUGCAUGCUUUAAACAAACUAGCUACUGACAUUUUACAGACUUUUACUCUUUUGACUACUAGGUGGGAGAGAACAAGAGGUACUUUUUUCAGGAGGACAGUUUCUUCUUUUGAUUUCAGUUUUGAUUGCUCUUCAAACAUGAAGCUUCAGUACCUUCCUUUAGAUGUUUAGGCUGCAAAUGGAAAGCUAUGAAGAUAAAAUCCCAUGAAAGAAAGCUGUCUGAUUAGGAAUAAAGAGGGUUUACUUUAACACUACUUUGUCAUUUUGAACAGUAAAAUGCUCAUACCCUGCCUUAGAAAUUCUCCUUGUGGAAAUAACUGGCAAAAUGACCCGUUUACAUCGGCAACUAAUGAUUAAAGAUAGCCUUGUGCUUGGAGUAUGGACUAGGAUUUAGGAAAGGACUUUCUUUUUGUAUUAGCAAUGAGAAUACUGGAUUGGGACCAGCAUCAUAUUCUGUCUGGGUGUGUCUACACAUGCAAUUAAUGUGACUGAAUAUGCUCCAACUCAAACUGAGCUGGAAUAAACCAAUCCCGACUUCACUGUCUACAUGUGCAUUUAAGUGCAGUAAUUUACUGCACUGCCGGAUACCACUUGUAUCUGAUGGAACUAUCUGGCAAUGCAGUAAAUUAAUCUACUGCACCCUAAUUGCCACAUUCGUGUAGAUGGUGAUUCUUUACCGUGCAGCAAAUUAGGCUGCUGUGCAAUAAAGCAUCUCAUAUAGAUGUGCCCAGACCAUGUCUUAGUUCCUUUAUUUGUAAAAUGGAGAUUAUACAUUAACCUCUUGGGAGUGUUAUGGCAGUUAAUGUGUUAGAAAAUAGAACUGAGACACUUGAAUGAAGUGUCUUAUGAAAAUUCAUAAUACUACAUUGUCCAGUUAUGGGUAUAACAUCCCUGAGUGGAUUUUGAAAUAUUGCCCUUUAUAUUUUCUUUUGUUUUUAAUUCAAAACAGAAUGGUCAUUUUAAACAUGGGGUUAGUUAAGUACCUUUUGUAGUCUACAUAAUUCAUUUCUAGAGUAGUUAAAUUGAAUAUUUAUAAUUGCCUUCUGGAAUUCUUAAUAAUGAGGCAGAAACCCAGCCUUAAUAAAGGUCAGAAGGGCCCAAACCCAGAGUUUCUCUGCAUGCCAGCUGCUCUCAACAAGUUUCUUGUCAUUGGUACUUUAGUGUUUGCACUCUUUAUACCUCUAGGGUGCCCAAACUAAGUUUAUUUGUUACUCAGAUCUGUGCACUUGAACUGCCAACCGGUAUGCUGAUUGUAAUGGUGCUUUCUGUGAGGAGGAUACUCCUUUGGAGUUUCUUAAGUGUACAAAGUAGAGAACUAGUAUUUAUCAGGUACCAAAGCUGCAUCUUGGAGCCAGUUCAUCCCUGUCCAAAGGCCUGAAAACUGAGUUGUCCAAAUCAUGUUUUCAAUGGAGCUUGCUCUGAAAGGGGCCCAAACCUACAAAUCUCCUUAUAUCCAUAUGCAUUUCAGCUGUUAGAGACAGUGCCACAUACACAGAAGCCUUGGGCCUCUUCAGCUUUUCCAGGACACUAACUACUUAACCCUUCUGCUAUUAAAUACAUCGGACUUAUUCUCCUGAUACUUUUCUCAGUAUAAAUAGAAAUAAACUCCUUUGCACAUUUAAGACACUGUCUCCAAUAUUAACAGUGUAAAACUAGCAUAAGUAAUAAGGGAAUUGGACUCAGUCCUUUUUUUAAAUUACUCAUUUACCUGUAGAGCAAGUAGGUUUUCAUCUUGAGCAUCAAGUGUUUACCACUUAUGAAAGCAGAAUAUUGGGCUGGCUGGAUAGCUUUGAGGUCCUGUAUGAUAAAUGCUAUGUUCUACCACUAAAACUGAUGAUUGCUGGGAAGCCCAACACAUAGAUUUAAGACAAAAGAUAAUAGAAGCAAUAUAGUAACUGUUUUGUUAUCCCAUAUAAGAUAUUGGAGUAGAGUUCCUUGUUUAUUAUGUACAUUUUAUUACAUCCAUAUUUACCUAACAUAUUGUCAGCACUGAACAAAUAAUAUCAGAAAUAAUACA